AGGGUUUGAUUAUGGCUCAGAACGUACGCUGGCGGCACGCCUUAUACAUGCAAGUCGAACGCAGUAGCAAUACUGAGUGGCAAACGGGUGAGUAUAAUGUGGGAAUCUGCCUUUUGGUUUGGAAUAACACGGGGAAACUUGUGCUAAUACCGAAUAAGCCCUUACGGGGAAAGUUUUAACGCCGAAAGAUGAGCCUGCACUUGAUUAGCUAGUUGGUAAGGUAAAAGCUUACCAAGGCAACGAUCAAUAGCUGUUCUUAGAGGAAGACCAGCCACAUUGGGACUGAGACACGGCCCAGACUCCUACGGGAGGCAGCAGUGGGGAAUCUUGCACAAUGGGGGAAACCCUGAUGCAGCGAUGCCGCGUGAGUGAAGAAGGCCCUUGGGUUGUAAAACUCUUUCGUCGGGGAAGAAAAUGACUGUACCCGAAUAAGAAGGUCCGGCUAACUUCGUGCCAGCCGCCGCGGUAAUAC
RNAcentral lists this ribosomal RNA (472 nucleotides) under uncultured bacterium. Its description in RNAcentral is "bacterial SSU rRNA". It matches the Rfam family "Bacterial small subunit ribosomal RNA", at positions 8 to 526 of the family's 1533-position model. The record is from RNAcentral.